CAAGUCGCACGAAGAAGGGGGAGCAAUCCCUGAGUACAGUGGCGCACGGGUGAGUAACACGUGAAUGAUCUACCUCCGAGUGGGGAAUAACUGAGAGAAAUCUUAGCUAAUACCGCAUAACACUUACGAGUCAAAGCAGCAAUGCGCUUGGAGAGGGGUUCGCGGCCGAUUAGUUAGUUGGCGGGGUAAUGGCCCACCAAGACGAUGAUCGGUAUCCGGCCUGAGAGGGCGCACGGACACACUGGAACUGAAACACGGUCCAGACUCCUACGGGAGGCAGCAGUGGGGAAUUUUGCGCAAUGGGGGAAACCCUGACGCAGCAACGCCGCGUGGAGGAUGAAAUAUCUUGGUAUGUAAACUCCUUUCGAUGGGGAAGAUUAUGACGGUACCCAUAGAAGAAGCCCCGGCUAACUUCGUGCCAGCAGCCGCGGUAAUACGAGGGGGGCAAGCGUUGUUCGGAUUUAUUGGGCGUAAAGGGUGCGUAGGCGGUUUGGCAAGUCUGAUGUGAAAUCUAUGGGCUCAACCCAUAGUCUGCAUCAGAAACUGCCGGGCUUGAGUAUGGGAGAGGUGAGUGGAAUUUCCGGUGUAGCGGUGAAAUGCGUAGAUAUCGGAAGGAACACCUGUGGCGAAAGCGGCUCACUGGACCAUAACUGACGCUGAUGCACGAAAGCUAGGGGAGCAAACAGGAUUAGAUACCCUGGUAGUCCUAGCCCUAAACGAUGAUUGCUUGGUGUG
This 735-nucleotide ribosomal RNA is filed under the name uncultured bacterium. RNAcentral's name for it is "bacterial SSU rRNA". It matches the Rfam family "Bacterial small subunit ribosomal RNA", at positions 58 to 824 of the family's 1533-position model. The record is from RNAcentral.